Molecule: ribosomal RNA, 484 nt
Filed under: uncultured bacterium
Lineage: Bacteria
Description: partial 16S ribosomal RNA
Rfam family: Bacterial small subunit ribosomal RNA
Source: RNAcentral
AUUGAACGCUGGCGGCAGGCCUAACACAUGCAAGUCGAGCGGAUGAAGGGAGCUUGCUCCUGGAUUCAGCGGCGGACGGGUGAGUAAUGCCUAGGAAUCUGCCUGGUAGUGGGGGAUAACGUCCGGAAACGGGCGCUAAUACCGCAUACGUCCUGAGGGAGCAAGUGGGGGAUCUUCGGACCUCACGCUAUCAGAUGAGCCUAGGUCGGAUUAGCUAGUUGGUGGGGUAGAGGCCUACCAAGGCGACGAUCCGUAACUGGUCGGCGAGGAUGGUCAGUCGCCCGGGAGCGUGGCCGCGGACCAUGCGCCUGCGGGACGCACCAGUGUGCAACAUUGGGCAGCGGGCGGAAGUCUUGCACAGUCGGCGCACGUCUGUUAAGAAGGUGCUCCGAGCGUAAUGCACGCUAUGGGGUGGUGAAGCGCAGUAGCCUAAGACCUUGCUGUUGUGACGUUACCGACAGAAUAAGCACCGGCUAACUUCGUG